Nannospalax galili (Upper Galilee mountains blind mole rat) is the source of this 516-nucleotide RNA transcript. NCBI's taxonomy places the organism in Eukaryota, Metazoa, Chordata, Mammalia, Rodentia, Spalacidae. The record is from RefSeq and is a predicted model, not a curated record.
UGGAGGCUGUUGGACUGCAGUAGCAGAGCAAUGCCUAAAUCAAAGGAACUUGUUUCUUCGAGCUCUUCAGGCAACGAUUCUGACAGUGAAGUUGAAAAAAAGUUAAAGAGGAAAAAGCAAGUUGCUCCAGAAAAACCUGUAAAGAAACAAAAGCCUGGUAAAACUUCAAGAGCUUUGGCCUCUUCCAAGCAGAGCAGCAGCAGCAGAGAUGACAUGUUUCAGAUUGGGAAAAUGAGGUAUGUCAGUGUUCGGGACUUUAAAGGGAAAAUUCUAAUUGAUAUUAGAGAAUAUUGGAUGGACUCAGAAGGUGAAAUGAAACCCGAAAGAAAAGGUAUUUCUUUAAAUAUGGAGCAGUGGAGCCAGCUGAAGGAACAGAUUUCUGACAUUGAUGAUGCAGUAAGAAAACUAAAAUCUGAGCCAUCUCAAACUUGUACUGUUCUAGUUGUUUUAAUCUGUCUUUUUACAUUGGCUUUUGUUUUCUAAAUAUUGUUUUCCAAGCUGUUGUAUAUUUGGAUU